This is a long non-coding RNA of Ochlerotatus camptorhynchus, 1163 nucleotides long. RefSeq lists it as uncharacterized. NCBI's taxonomy places the organism in Eukaryota, Metazoa, Arthropoda, Insecta, Diptera, Culicidae. The record is from RefSeq and is a predicted model, not a curated record. The transcript is spliced from 3 exons.
ACCAAUAUGCUGGUUGGGGCAGACAUUGACAUCGGGUUGAGAAUUCUGUCCAAUUCAUAUACAAACAGUAAACAGCUGAGAGCUGCUGAAACACCUCGUAAAUAAUAACAUUUAAUUUCAAAAUUUCCAAGCAAAAACCGUAAAAACCAUUAAUCUUUUCAAGUUCAGAAAGCAAAAUUUGUAAAUAUGAAACCAGUGCAAAAAUGCAUCAUUCCAACUUGUCAAAAUCGGCUUGGAACUGCAAAUUGUGUCGAUUUUUUCACCGUUCCGUCGACCGGACAUAAGGUUUUCAAAUGUUGGACAAAAAUCGUGAACCUAUCAGGAGAGCGGAUAGAAAAAAUUUGUGCCGAUCAUUUUACCAAAAACGAUUUUAUUACAUAUACUCGUACAAAACUGAAGCAAGAUGCUAUCCCUACAUUGCAAAUCCCAGAGCAGGGCCCGAUACUGCCCGAUAGGGCCCGAUCUAACGCUGUUCCGUCGAAAAAAAUUCAACGGCAAAUUCGGUUACCCCAGAAGCUGAACUUUCCUGAUCGUACGAUCCACAACUACACUGUCCACGCUUGUAAAUCAAGGAGUAACAGAAUAUGCUUCGUUAACGGAUGCCGGUCUCGUAAAAUAGGGAAUAUAAAGCUACACAGUUUUCCGGCACAGAGUGACACCAGGUUCAAAGAAUGGAUCCGUAUUUUGAAAUGCACUAAACUACCAACGGUCAAUUCUAAAGUGUGUAGUCUCCAUUUCAAGAAAUCUGAUUAUAUUGGGGGUGGACCACGAUUGAAACCAUACGCAAAGCCUUCAGUCGAAAGUCGGGGGGCUCAGAUAAAUUCCAUUAACCAAACCGAAGGUGAUUCGUCGAGUUCUGCUGAAAUUAGCUUCACCCAUAGUAACACACCAACCCUGGAUUAUCCCGAACAAAAUGAGCUUGAAGAAGUUCAUCGUCCUGCGUAUCAAUCACCCAUCCCACAUGAUUCGAAUAACGGCGAACAUACACCAGAUGGUGAAAGCAACCAAGAAAGUAACUACCUAUCGAUCGAGGAGACCACAAACGAUAACGUGGAGUUCGAGUUUGUUGCAGUUUAGUUUAAUGUUACACAUGUUACUCUCAACAUCAAUUCAUUAUAUGUGGAAACAUAAUACAAUAUGCAAAGGAAUAAAUUGUACUGCAA